RNAcentral lists this ribosomal RNA (440 nucleotides) under uncultured bacterium. RNAcentral's name for it is "partial 16S ribosomal RNA". It matches the Rfam family "Bacterial small subunit ribosomal RNA", at positions 338 to 795 of the family's 1533-position model. The record is from RNAcentral.
CCUACGGGAGUCAGCAGUGGGGAAUAUUGCACAAUGGGGGAAACCCUGAUGCAGCGACGCCGCGUGAGCGAUGAAGUAUUUCGGUAUGUAAAGCUCUAUCAGCAGGGAAGAAAAUGACGGUACCUGACUACUACUCCCCGGCUAACUACGGGCCAGCCGCCGCGGUAAUACGUAGGGGGCAAGCGUUAUCCGGAUUUACUGGGUGUAACGGGAGCGUAGACGGCGGUGCAAGCCAGAUGUGAAAGCCCGGGGCUCAACCCCGGGACUGCAUUUGGAACUGUGCUGCUAGAGUGUCGGAGAGGCAGGCGGAAUUCCUAGUGUAGCGGUGAAAUGCGUAGAUAUUAGGAGGAACACCAGUGGCGAAGGCGGCCUGCUGGACGAUGACUGACGUUGAGGCUCGAAAGCGUGGGGAGCAAACAGGAUUAGAUACCCUGGUAGUC